AUAGAUAAGGAGUAGUCCUAUGUCAUUCAUGAGACUGAGUUCAGAAUAUCAUGAUGGUAAGGUAAAUAAUGGAAAAGGAUUUCUAUAGGAUUUCACUUAUGAACUCGAGUCGAUUGAAUAUUAUAUAUGACAAACGAUGAGGUUUGACGAGUUAUCCAUGACCUCCAUCUUGUUGGGACUCAUGAUAGAAGGAUCGAAUCACACGAUAAUUAUAUCUAAAGGUUUAAUAUUUUAUUCUGUUGGAUUAUCACUACAUAUUAUUAGAUGUCACUGGAGGAUUGUGAGACUCGUCGAAUAUCAUCUUGAUGAUCGAUGAUCCUUAAUGGAUAGAGUUGGAAUCGUUUUAAUCCAUCAAAAAGAGUUUCAAUGAUAUUAUGAUAGAAAUUACAGUAUAUCUCACUAUCAGACAG
RNAcentral lists this long non-coding RNA (410 nucleotides) under Elaeis guineensis (African oil palm). Its description in RNAcentral is "long non-coding RNA (EGUI_LNC008402)". Lineage: Eukaryota; Viridiplantae; Streptophyta; Magnoliopsida; Arecales; Arecaceae. The record is from RNAcentral.